AAUGGAAGAUAAAGGUGGUGCUCUCCUUGCUGGUUCCCCACAGUGUGAUUGUGCAAACGUUCGUGAGACUGGGGGAGUCUCCACUGCAUGUGUGUAUUUACUGGGAGACCUUUCCCACUGGACAUCACUGAAAAAAUGCAGUCAAUUAGGAAUGAUACAUGCAUGAACCUUUUCUCUGAAGGUGCUAGAAUGAGGACUGCUCCCUUCAAGGACUUUAGUUUUCAGUUUUCAUUGGAAAUGCUGUGUUCAAAUGUUUAUCUCAUGUCUACUUUGACCAGCUUUGGCAGAUCUCAGAGAUACUACAGAUAGAGACAGGUGGUUUCUCCCCUCCCUAAGCCGAUACAGUGUAAGCUUAUUAGAGACUGUUUUUGUGACUACGAUCAUCAUAGCCAUUCCAAACUCUUUCUGUUCCUAAAGCAAGAGUGUACAAAGGAGGUACUUUUAAGAUAAAAUAAAACUAUGUAUAUUAGUCUCCCUUAUUAUACUGUAAGAUUAUGGGUAGCCAAGCCUUCAUUUUUGGGGAGAACAUUUUGCUUUUCUGCCUCUUGCCUAUAUACUUCUGGGUGUUAGCCCUCUCUAGAGUGUACAGGUGGGUAGUGUUACGCGCUGGUGUGGUACGGUGUCCCUGACUCGCUGGGACCCUGUUAAGGGUUGUCUUUCUGCAAAGCAUUGGAUCCUCAGGUGGCCUGGGCCAGAGAAAGGAGGGGCUCCUGGGAUGCUGAAGGCCUGCUUCUUCUCUUCACUGUUCCACUGUGGAGAGCGCCGGGUUUGUCACUGGUGGUACAGCCUGAUUCCUGUGAUCUACCGAGGACAGGAUGCUGUUACCUGUCCCUAUUCACUGGCGCGACAGUUUGUUCAUGCUUCGUCCAUUUGCCUUGGCGUUACGGGGGCAGAAGAGUUUUGUCAGGCCAAGGUUUUACUAAAUAAGAGGGACUGCAUUUGAAGGCCUUUCUAUAUUCGCAAGUGGGAUAAAUGGUAUCUGAGGGUUCACUGCACAGGUGUGUAAAGAACCAUUUUUGGUGGGCUAGCUCCCAGUGGGGCUUUGCCUUCCCCUCGAGGUCCAGGAAGUGACUCUAGAACCUCAAGCUAAGGGCAAAGCUAUAGUAAUUUUUUUCUUAUGUUUUGUCAGAUAAUAUGAACUAGCCAAUUAACAUCAUGUCAGUGUCUCUAUUUUCAGAUGAGACAAAGCAUGAACACUGUAGGAUCAUGGCUGUUCAUUUUAGACUUUAUGAAAGAAAAGCAUAUGUUUUCGAAGGAUUCCUGGGGGUGUGUAUACAAAUAUAUCAGACUUGUUGAAAGCAGGGCUCGAGACAAGUGGCCUAUAAAGAUAGAAGUCCACAUCGUGUCUGGUCAGAAGUGGGUGGACAAACAUGGGAGGUUUUAUCUUACUAGACUGUCCAGGCGUAAACCCCUCCGACGUGGGAUUAAUUCCCUCUCUACUUACCCAGAGUGGCUGUAUUCCCAACACUCGAAGAAAGUUGUCUUUAAUUCACUGACACAUGCUAUGCGAAUGCUGCCUACAAUAUUGAAUUCAUUGUUGUAAGAAAUUCAAUUUGGACUUUUUCAGAGUGGUCGAGUCAUUCCGAAUCAUGCGUCUACAAGCUCGAUUUCUGUUUUGUUAGCAUGACUAUGGAAAUUUUUGCUCAUAUUGUCUCUUGAGUCUUUCUCUUUCAUCCAGGUUCUAGAUAUUUUACUGUGCUGCGUUUUCUGAGCUUGGCUUGUUAUAAAUUAAAUAUGUAUAUAUUUUCUUUUUUCUGCUCAGGGAGUCCUAUUCUCAACUUUUCCAACGGGAAAACAAAUUAAUAGGAGAUGUCAGUUUAUUGACAGAGGCCAAGGGUAACUAAAAAUCAUGCCUAGAAGAAGCACAUCUGGGUAUUUCCCUGUGAAUGGAUUUGUAAUUACACGUGGUGUUUCAUAGACCUGCACAUGGCCAUUGUCAGACACAGACUUUCACCUCUAAGGGUCUUUAAUAGCUCACGUUUCAGUGCUUACUGUGGGUCGGACGCUGUCCAAAGCAUCUUGCAAAUGUUACCUCAUCUAGUUCUCACCAAUACUUGCUGAUGUAGGUACCGGUUAUUACCUUCUUUGUACAGAUGAGAAAAAUGAACCCAUAGAGGUUAAAUAGAGUGUCAGAGCUCAUAUGCUUUUAAGAAGCGCAGCUGGGAUAUUAACGCAGACCAUCAGGCUUUAGAGUCCAUGUGUUUAACCAUUGGGCUGUACUACGUCUCACUGAUGUUCAGAAUCACAGUAAUUGUGGUCCUGGUAUUUAAUUAGAUGAUAAUGACUCUAGGGACAAUGACAUUGGCCAUUUCAGAUAUGUAUUUAGAUGUAAUGAGUGGGAGUUAAGCCUUUUCCAAGAUGCUUUGGGGUGGGGGGAUACCCUCAUCGUUUGGGUGGCAAUAAUUCAUGGUCAUUACAUUCUCAAGAGAUGGAGCCAGGACUAAAGAGGCAUAAGGUGGAAAUGUCUGUACCAUCCCUGGGGACCAGCCCAGACCCUGGGAAUCACAUGCACAUGACAUCCUUGGAAUCUAGCUUGAUGGUCUGGAAAAUCUCAGUGGCUGGUUCCAGGCUGAGCCCCAAAUUGGAGACUGAGUUAUUUUUACCCACUUAGCAGGGGAAGCUCUUAGAUGAUGGAGAAGGGUUUUCAAGGGGUGCAUGAAGGCUGAAAACAGCGACGUGAGAGGGUCAUGGAUGGAAUCUAUACUUCUGCCAGAUUCUUUUUGAGAAUUCCAGGUCAAAAUAAGGGCUAAGAGUAGAGACAAGCACAUUUGUCUAUCCAUCUACAUUAAUGCAUUCCUUCAAAAUGUCUUAAGACAACAGCUAUCAGAGAGAGAGACCCAUAUUUCUAGUACAUGUGGGGGAGUGGGGGUACUCUAUAGCCCAUCCCCAUGUUUUGGUACAAAUACAUUAUUUCAUGAUAGUUAAGAUGAAUUGGAUUUGUUCUCAAAAGAUAAUUCUGCAUUGUGAUGUCUAUACUGUGGAAGCAGUCAUCUACAGGGGGUUUUUGUGUGUUUGUUUUAUUUUUCUGUUGGGUACAUGUAUUUUACAAACCCCAAUACUGUCUAUGAAAAGACCUAAAGUUACAUUAUGGCAUAAGUGAAUUAUUUUUUUUUCAUAUGACAAAAAAGCAUUUACUUGACAGAUGGCAUCAUCAGAAGAUUAUUUUAAAUAGCAAAGGCCUCCUAAUGCUGUAAAAAAGGAUUGCAUUUUUUUUUUAAUUUUCCACUAGUCUUUCAGGCACACACCUAUUGCUUCAAGGGAGGCAAGUCUGUGGGGCAUUGAUGGAUUCCUUAUUUUAUUAAAUUUUUACUUGGACGUUUGAUGUUAAAAAGUAAUCUAAAUCUACCAUAUAUCAAUGGGUAUCUUCAUAAAGCUAUGAUUUUAACAUCUGUGACUUUUUUCCUCAAUUUUUUGAGUGUCAGAAAAUGAAGAAUUUCUUCUUCAGAGUCGACAGGGCCUGCAAUGUGAUACAUAAUUUAAAGCAUCAAUCAACCUCCCCUCCUCCAAUAAGGUUAAAAAUACAGUUCCCCACUUGCUUAGUGAAACCCCAUAUUUAGCAUACAUGGAAUUCUCAGCUUGUAGUGAUCCUGGAAUGUUGAGAAAUGUGAAAUGAUUUCACAGCAAACUUAUAAACCACAGCACCAGUGACAGAAUGGACCCUUCCAACCCCCAUGCCAUGUGUGUGCGUAAACAUAGACAAACACACACACACACACACGCGCGCACACACAAAGAAGCAAAGGUAUUUGGGGAAUAGCGAAGUUUCACCAUGAAGCAUUUUGUGAAAAUCGUUUAGUUAGUAUUUCAUAUGAGAUCUUGAGGAUUGCUUCUGCCCAUGAUGCAUUCUGUGGUCUAAUGACUGUUCAGGUUGAAUGUGCUUUGCUACCAACGACGAUGCCAACGGGAAUUUUGUUUUUAAAUCAGUCUCUUAAAAUAGUGCUGGUCCAUGUCUUCUUGAUGCUUUUGAUACUUAUGUGUUAACUGUGUCUAAAAGAUUUACUUCUUCUUUAAGUUCUCUCAUCAAUUUAUUCACAACUAGAUGCACCUGCAUUUCAUUAAACAUUUGGUGGCUGUUUCCAUAUCCACCAGAAGUCAGUUCUAUGUGCAAAACAGACCUCACUCCCUGUUCAGUAGGUGUUUGCACAGUUGGAGUUCAAGAUUAACAGUAUUUCUCUAAAGCUGAAAAAAAAAUCCAGUUCCAAUAACCAUUUUGUCUGGAGGAGAAGAUAUUUUUUUUUGACAUUUUAAAUGCAUCCAUAUAUACUUGUGUGCAAAAUGUAUAAAUAUAUUGUGUAAAAGGCUUAAAAUAUUUGACAAUUUAUUGUUUUAUUUAACAUUUAUAAGGCGAUUUCCCAAAUCUUCCUUUUCACAGAGGACUACAUAAUAUACCUUCAAAAAUAUGUUAGAGGGUUUUCUUAGCAUUUUUUUUUCAUUAGAACAAUCCAUCAUUGCACAUUGUGAUUAUAAUUUUUACAACAUAAUUGUACCUUCUAUUGACAACUUCUCAGGCAUUAACUAAUUAUGCCAUUUAAUAAAAUUACAGUAAUUGCAUUAAAAGAUUAUCUGUUGAAAAUUUAAAAGGACACUCUUUACUAUUCUAGCAUAUUUUCAUGUUUAUAUUUUCAACUAUAUAAUUGAAUUGCACUUUCAGACAGAAUCAUAGCUAUGCUGACUGAAAUCAGUUGGUAUUUUGGAGUGUCCCAGUUUUGACGAGUAAGCAUUAGAACUUUUUUUUUUUUUUGUAUUAUUCCUAGAAGAGCAUACAUUGCCAGUCUUCACAUGGCCCCAUUAGAUAAGAAGUGAAUGGUUAACUCUCACUUUUGUAUGACAGGUGCCAGGUCUAUAUGGGAAUGUUUUUGUCUCUACCUACUGCCUCCUCUCUGCUUUCUGGUGGGAUACACUGACACAUACUCAUUUUCUGCCUUCUGUGAGUUUUCUGGUUGGGAUUCAUUGUCUUUUGCAGAUUCUCAGUGAAUUCAGUCUAGUUCUCUCUACUGUCCAGAGAAACCCUACUGUUAAUUUGAACUUGGUCCUGAGUGUAGGGUCUUAAAUCUUAGAGAAAGAAGAAAUCUGGAGGUCAUGUCACUCCUUGACCCAGCCAAUGCCCUCUUCAAGCUUGCCCCAUUCAUUCCCUCCCUCGCUUUCUGCAACCAUUGUUUGUCCAGCGUCUCAAGCACAGUUAGGUACUGGGAUACAAAGAUGAAACUGUCACGCUAAGUCUUCACCGGUCUCUUAUCUGCCUCCCCUCUUUCCCCAUCUCUCUUCAUCCUUCUCUCCCUUCCUCCUUUUCAUCCAUCUACCCCUCCUCCCAGCUUCUCCCAGCCCUGCUCCCCAUUUCUCUUGCCACACCCCACCCCCGCUUCUUUCCACUGCCCUCCUCUUAUAGUUGAAACCACAGCAGUGCCAUUUAAUGAUUAACACACACCAUACGAAAAAUUAAAUUUGUCCUUUGGAGAUCAACUUAAUACACAUUAGAAUAUUUUAAAAAUAUGAAAUCGGCUACAAAUGUGGGUAGGAAUUAUUAUCUGAUCUCGCUAUUGGUAGGUGUGGUGUUGUUCUCCUAACUCAGAGAGAAGCUCGCUAAAGCAGGUGCACAUACAUGCAUGUGCAUAGUUGCUGCUUCAUCACAGAGGAUGAUAUGUGAGGACUUGUGGACGACCUGCUCCAGGAUAGGGGGGAGAUGCAAAUCAUUGUAUUAUAUGCCACAUAUUAGUGUUCGAGAGUAGGCUAUUUCUAGGGCUGAUUCAUGUGCAUAGAACCACCAAAUACCAAAGCAUGCAGCUCUGUCUUUAAAGCUCUGAGAAUACUCUUCAUGUUCAACCUAAUAAAUUAAUUCUUCACAUCAAAAAUGGAGGAAUUUUAUUUCUAUGACCUAAUAAUUCAGGUUAAUGUGAAACACUAAAGACUUAUUCAGUGUUACUUAGCCAUAUGUUGGAAGGAUUGUUUUAGGACAGUGUGAGCUACAGAAUGUCAAAGGCCCCGUCUUUUACCUCUGCAUAUGUCCUUAUGGUUUAUGUGUUGGGUACACAGCAGGCUUCUAAUCUGUGCUUCUUGGAAGAGUGCUAGAACCAGUACAAACCAUCUGUUAGCAGAUACUGCUUUCUUUUUAUUCUAACUCCUCCUCUGGCCAUGACAGCCUGUGGCCCCAUCAGAAGGUAAAAUCCAUAGACAGCCUAACAGCUUCAUCAUAAUCUUGUCCAAUGUGCAUUUUUCUAGCUUUCUCUCGAUGUUGCCCAUCCAGAGGGGUGGUGCUCAUCUACAGCGAAAGGGCCAAAAGGCAGCCAGCAGUUGGAGAACCGGGGGAAGAGGAAGGGAGCUGGCAAAUCUCUAACCCAAUCAACAGCCCCUGAAUGAGGGGGAUUUUAUUUUUGAUUCUUACAGAGAUGAGUGCUUUUCUCCCCCCCUUCUCCAUCUGUUUCUAUAUGUGACACCUGGAUGUGCAAACAUUUUAUAUGAUGCAAAAAUAUAAAAAAUCUAGAAAUAAAAGAGAAGGAGAAGGAGAAAAAUCACCGGUGUGUGUGAAAACAGUUAUAACCUGUUCCUGCUUUUUGUCCAGAC
Molecule: long non-coding RNA, 6558 nt
Organism: Ailuropoda melanoleuca (giant panda)
Lineage: Eukaryota; Metazoa; Chordata; Mammalia; Carnivora; Ursidae
Exons: 2
Source: RefSeq, a predicted model, not a curated record